RNAcentral lists this ribosomal RNA (249 nucleotides) under uncultured Acinetobacter sp. Its description in RNAcentral is "partial 16S ribosomal RNA". It matches the Rfam family "Bacterial small subunit ribosomal RNA", at positions 355 to 595 of the family's 1533-position model. Lineage: Bacteria; Pseudomonadati; Pseudomonadota; Gammaproteobacteria; Moraxellales; Moraxellaceae. The record is from RNAcentral.
UGGGGAAUAUUGGACAAUGGGCGGAAGCCUGAUCCAGCCAUGCCGCGUGUGUGAAGAAGGCCUUAUGGUUGUAAAGCACUUUAAGCGAGGAGGAGGCUACUUUAGUUAAUACCUAGAGAUAGUGGACGUUACUCGCAGAAUAAGCACCGGCUAACUCUGUGCCAGCAGCCGCGGUAAUACAGAGGGUGCAAGCGUUAAUCGGAUUUACUGGGCGUAAAGCGCGCGUAGGCGGCUAAUUAAGUCAAAUGU